This is an RNA transcript of Vigna angularis (adzuki bean), 2175 nucleotides long. It is a transcript of the gene named amino acid transporter AVT1A, with no coding region annotated. NCBI's taxonomy places the organism in Eukaryota, Viridiplantae, Streptophyta, Magnoliopsida, Fabales, Fabaceae. The record is from RefSeq and is a predicted model, not a curated record. The transcript is spliced from 12 exons.
UUUGUUUGGGGCAUGAGAUAAACAUCUGAGCAUAAGCGGCAGAACACUAAAGCGAUUGGUGCAAACACAUCAGUUGAAUGUUUUGAGUGAGAUGAAGCGAAUAUAGCUUUUGGCACAGAGGCAAACAUAUUUGCUUUAUUUGAAAAAGGAAGUUGGCGAUCUAACUCUGCAACUCCGUUCCGUUGUUAUCACAGAAGAGUACUUUUUUUCGCCAUUGCUUCAGUUGUUCCUGAGUCAUCGUUUCAGUUUGAGAUUGUGAAUAGUUGCAGCAAUGGUUAGUAACGAGGGCAACGAGGAGGAGAAAGACCUUGAGUUUUUGUUUGAAGAUGUUAUAAACGACGUCGCACAAAAUGAUAUUGAAACUGCCAAGUUAGAGAGUGAGAGCAGUAGCAGUGAUGACGACGAAAUUCAUCAAACACACUCUCACUCUUUCACUUCUCUCCAAUGGCCCCAAAGUUACAAAGAGACUACAGAUUCUUAUACACUUGCAGCAACUCCACAUUUCGAAUCAAUUCUACGAGUACCAAGUAUUAUAUUGUCCAGUUUUGAAAGUCGUUCAAAGCAGAACUCGCAAAUAGAUGGAAAGACUCCUUUCCUCUCUAGUCCUGAAGUCACUACCCAAUCACCAUUGUUGAAGGAAGAUGCAGCACAAGGGCAUUCAGUAGGCGAAUUGCCCGUUAGUCGUGGGUGCAGCUUAAUUCAAACAAUUUUCAAUGCAACUAAUGUGAUGGCUGGAGUUGGCAUUCUCUCAACACCUUAUACAAUGAAAGAAGCUGGUUGGAUUAGCAUGGUGUUGAUGGUUCUUUUCGCUGUCAUUUGUUGCUAUACAGCCACCCUUAUGAGAUACUGCUUUGAAAGCAGAGAAGGAAUCAAUAGCUACCCAGAUAUAGGAGAAGCUGCAUUUGGAAAAUAUGGUCGUAUUAUUGUAUCAAUCAUCUUGUACACGGAAUUAUAUUCAUGUUGUGUAGAAUUCGUCACCUUGGAAGGAGACAACCUCACUGGACUCUUUCCAGGAACAUUCUUAGAUUUGGGUAGUUUGCAUUUAGAUUCUGUGCACUUGUUUGGAAUUUUAGCUGCACUUAUUUUUAUCCCAACUGUUUUGCUGAAGGAUCUUCGCAUAAUCUCUGUACUGUCAGCUGGAGGAGUUUUUGCAACACUGUUGAUUGUUAUCUGUGUGUAUUGUGUUGGGAUGAUGGAUGGUAUUGGAUUCCAUCACAGCACAAAAUUUGUCAAGUGGAGUGGCAUUCCAUUAGCUAUUGGUAUCCACGGGUUUUGCUUUGCAGGCCAUUCAGUUUUUCCAAAUAUUUACCAAUCUAUGGCUGACAAAACACAAUUUACCAAAGCAUUAAUUGUAUGUUUUGCAUUGUCUGUUGCAAUAUAUGGAGGUGUUGCUAUCAUGGGAUUCCUUGAAUUUGGCAACGACACUUUGUCUCAAAUAACAUUAAAUUUGCCACGAAAUGCAUUUGCUUCCCAGGUUGCAAUGUGGACAACAGUAAUUAACCCAUUCACCAAAUAUGCAUUAUUGAUGACCCCAUUAGCAAGAAGUCUGGAGGAGCUGGUACCAGAUAGAUACUCAAGUAGUAAUCGGUGUUUCGUUCUUAUCAGAGUUGCACUUGUUGUAUCAACAGUUUGUGCCGCUUUUCUGAUUCCCUUUUUCGGGUAUGUAAUGGCUUUAAUUGGCUCUCUCUUCAGUAUACUUGUGGUAAGCAAACACUUCAAUGUACUCACAAACACUUUCACAACAACACAUUCAAACAUAUAUGAUGAAUAAAUCACGAAAGGUCCAUUUUCGUUAUGGAAAAUAGGAAGUGUUUGAUAUAAUUGAGAAACUGAGACCUAUGUUUAACUAUAAUGUUUGUUGGCAUCAACUUGACAUGAGCUUGUUCCGUCUAUAGUCCACUGUUCUUUCCUUUAUUAUUAUUGUAAGGAAUUUCACUGCAAACUGAUUUUGGGAGUGCAAAAUUUACAGUCAGUGAUAUUUCCGAGUUUAUGUUUUAUGAGAAUUGUGGGGAAAAAAGCAUCGAAUACACAGGUUGCGCUGAGCGUGGUAAUUACUGCAUUUGGAGUCAUUUUUGGAGUUCUGGGAACAUAUUCAUCUGUGGUGAGUAUUGUGAACAGUUACUGAGACAUCUACUCUUCUUCACUUCAAUUUUUGUGUCCAAGUAUUUCUUUUUA